RNAcentral lists this transfer RNA (66 nucleotides) under Rhopalopsole bulbifera. Its description in RNAcentral is "tRNA-Pro". It matches the Rfam family "tRNA". Rfam says of the family: Transfer RNA (tRNA) molecules are approximately 80 nucleotides in length. Their secondary structure includes four short double-helical elements and three loops (D, anti-codon, and T loops). The record is from RNAcentral. Lineage: Eukaryota; Metazoa; Arthropoda; Insecta; Plecoptera; Leuctridae.
CAAAGAAUAGUUUAAGUUUAAAAUAUUAGUUUUGGGGACUAAUGAUGGAGGUUUCUUUUUCUUUGA